Molecule: ribosomal RNA, 60 nt
Filed under: Pseudobacillus badius
Lineage: Bacteria; Bacillati; Bacillota; Bacilli; Caryophanales; Bacillaceae
Description: Bacillus badius partial 23S ribosomal RNA
Source: RNAcentral
GAGGUGGAAGCGUGGCGACACGUGGAGCUGACGAAUACUAAUCGAUCGAGGACUUAACCA